This 742-nucleotide ribosomal RNA is filed under the name Flavitalea sp. RNAcentral describes it as "bacterial SSU rRNA". It matches the Rfam family "Bacterial small subunit ribosomal RNA", at positions 33 to 768 of the family's 1533-position model. Lineage: Bacteria; Pseudomonadati; Bacteroidota; Chitinophagia; Chitinophagales; Chitinophagaceae. The record is from RNAcentral.
ACGCUAGCGGCAGGCUUAAUACAUGCAAGUCGUGGGGCAGCACAGUGUAGCAAUACAUGGGUGGCGACCGGCAAACGGGUGCGGAACACGUACGCAACCUCCCUUCAAGUGGGGAAUAGCCCAGGGAAACUUGGAUUAAUACCCCGUAAUAUUUCGAGGUGGCAUCACCUUGAUCUUAUAGCUACGGCGCUUGAAGAUGGGCGUGCGACUGAUUAGGUAGUUGGCGGGGUAACGGCCCACCAAGCCUGCGAUCAGUAACUGGUGUGAGAGCACGACCAGUCACACGGGCACUGAGACACGGGCCCGACUCCUACGGGAGGCAGCAGUAAGGAAUAUUGGUCAAUGGACGCAAGUCUGAACCAGCCAUGCCGCGUGGAGGAUGAAGGUCCUCUGGAUUGUAAACUUCUUUUAUUUGGGAAGAAACCCACGGUUUCUACUGUGGUUGACGGUACCAGAUGAAUAAGCACCGGCUAACUCCGUGCCAGCAGCCGCGGUAAUACGGAGGGUGCAAGCGUUAUCCGGAUUCACUGGGUUUAAAGGGUGCGUAGGCGGGCAGGUAAGUCAGUGGUGAAAUCCCCGAGCUUAACUUGGGAACUGCCGUUGAUACUAUCUGUCUUGAAUGUUGUGGAGGUAAGCGGAAUAUGUCAUGUAGCGGUGAAAUGCUUAGAUAUGACAUAGAACACCUAUUGCGAAGGCAGCUUGCUACACAACCAUUGACGCUGAGGCACGAAAGCGUGGGGAU